RNAcentral lists this transfer-messenger RNA (430 nucleotides) under bacterium. It matches the Rfam family "transfer-messenger RNA". From Rfam's summary of the family: Bacterial tmRNA, also known as 10Sa RNA or SsrA, is named for its dual tRNA and mRNA-like properties. Its role is to liberate the mRNA from a stalled ribosome. To accomplish this part of the tmRNA is used as a reading frame that ends in a translation stop signal. The record is from RNAcentral.
GGGGCUGACAUGGCUUCGACGGGAACUUUAACAACCAAAUUUGCAAGCGGAGAGUACCUGCCUUAGAGUACAAAAAAAUACGUGCAAACGUUAUGAGCAAAGUCAAAGCUACUGUAGCAAACGCGUUUGGUAGCUUCGUCGCUCAACCAGUAUUCGCCUAAACUCGAAUACCGUGACUGUACUUGAUCUCUACUGAAGUGCAUCGCGUCAUAAUCGUAGGGUAGUAAUUAGGUUUUCAUCGGCCUGAUCACGAGAUUAAGAUGAUGCUAUGACUGGAAAUUUUGUCUGUUUCUAUUCCAGCCAUCUAAGAAAAAUGAAUCUAGCGUGUUCUUUAAGCUCGCCUGGAUUCGCUUAAAUAAACUGUCUAAGCUUGUAGAAGAUUUGGUUCGUUUGUUUUCGGACCCGAGUUCGAUUCUCGGCAGCUCCACCA